This 468-nucleotide ribosomal RNA is filed under the name uncultured bacterium. Its description in RNAcentral is "partial 16S ribosomal RNA". It matches the Rfam family "Bacterial small subunit ribosomal RNA", at positions 28 to 507 of the family's 1533-position model. The record is from RNAcentral.
GACGAACGCUGGCGGCGUGCUUAACACAUGCAAGUCGAACGGAAAGGCCCUGCUUUUGUGGGGUGCUCGAGUGGCGAACGGGUGAGUAACACGUGAGUAACCUGCCCUUGACUUUGGGAUAACUUCAGGAAACUGGGGCUAAUACCGGAUAGGAGCUCCUGCUGCAUGGUGGGGGUUGGAAAGUUUCGGCGGUUGGGGAUGGACUCGCGGCUUAUCAGCUUGUUGGUGGGGUAGUGGCUUACCAAGGCUUUGACGGGUAGCCGGCCUGAGAGGGUGACCGGCCACAUUGGGACUGAGGUACGGCCCAGAAGCCUACGGGAGGCAGCAGUGGGGAAUAUUGCACAAUGGGCGGAAGCCUGAUGCAGCAACGCCGCGUGCGGGAUGACGGCCUUCGGGUUGUAAACCGCUUUCGCCUGUGACGAAGCGUGAGUGACGGUAAUGGGUAAAGAAGCACCGGCUAACUACGUG